GCCACCAGGGGCAAAAAAUAAACAAAAAAAACAAAAAACAAAAAAAACAAAAAACAAAAAAAACAGGGCAAACAAUAAGAUAUUGAAAGCCUGAGAGGAAAAGCUGUAGAGUGAGUUUUUGUGGAGGAAUAGGAGCUUUGAAAAGCUAUUGUGGAUGAGAAACUAGAAAGCCAAGUGCACAGCUCAGGGCAGUAUGCGUGCUCAGAAAAGACCUGAGAAGGCCAUUAGCUUUCACCUCUGGCUUGUCUUUAGGUUCAACACAAACAGGAAGUGAAUAUUCAGGUAGAUUUAUAAAGGCCCUGGCUAAGUUUUGAAGGAGUGCCUCAACAGCUAAUCAGCAGAGACCUGGCGAGCAUUUUACUUUUCUUUUUCUUUUUUUGUUUCUUUUUGGUUUAUUUGUUUUGAAAUGUGGUCUUGCUGUGUUGCUCAGGCUAAUCUUGAACUCGUUGGCUCAAGCGAUCCUUCCACUUCAGCUUCCUGAGUAGCUGGAAUUACAGGCACACACCACUGCAUCCAUCUCUUUUUGUUUUUGUUUUAUUUUUUACACAUUAUAAAUGUUCAGUUUUUUAAAAAAAAAUUACGAAGCAUGUGAAGAAUCUAGAAAAUAUGCUUCAUUCACAAGAAAAAAGAAAUGAACAGAAACUACCCCGAGGAAGCACUAAUACUAGAAUUACUAGACAAAAACUUUAAAUCAGCUAUCUUAAGUAUACUCAAAGAGCUAAAGGACACCAUGGAGAAAGAACUAAAGGAAUUCAAGAUAAUAAUGUCUCAACAAAUAGAGAAUAUCAAUAAAGAGAAAUUUUUAAAAGUAGGCAAAGAGAAAUUUUGGAGCUGAAGGUUACAAUAAUUGAAAUGAAAAUUCACUAGGGGAGCUCAACAAAAGAUAUGAGCAGACAGAAGAAUCAGCAAACUUGAAGAUAGGUCCACUGAAAUUAUAUAGUUUGAAGAGCACACAUUUAAAAGAUUGAAGAAAAAUGAACAGAGUCCAGGAGAUGUGUGGGAUACCAACAUAUGUAUCAUGGUAAGGAGUGGGAGAAAGGUGCAGAAAACAUGUUUAAGAAAUAAUUGCCAAAACCAUUUCAAAUUUGAUAAGACAUGAACAUACACAUCCAAGAAGCUCAGCUAACACCCAAGAAGGAUAAACUCAAAGACAUCCAUACAAGACGCAUUAUAAUUAAAAUUUCCGAAGCCAGAGAUAAAAAGAGAAUCUUGGAAGCAGCAAGAGAGAAGCAACUUGUAACAUAUAAGGGAUCUUAAAUAAGAUGAAUUUCUGUUGAUUUCUUAGUGGAAACCAUGGAGGCUAGAAGGCAGUGGGAUGACAUAUUUAAAGUGAUGAAAGACAGACCUGCCAACCAAGAAUUCUAAAUCUGGCAAACCUAUCCUUCAGGAAUUAAGAAGAAAUCAUGACAUACCCAGAUAAACAAUAGCUGAGGGGGCUUCAUUAUUAAUAGACCUGCCCUGUAAGAAACGCUAAAAGGAGUCUUCAGGCUCACCACAGAUCUAUUAAAUUUUCUUUUUGGCAUAGGACGGAAACAUACGCAUUUUAAUUAAACAUUUGUAAUUUUUCUUACACAGCAAAACCAAAAACCCCACAAUGGAAAAUCAUUUUCUGUUCACCAGUUGUUAAAAACUUUUUUUAAAAAAAGUCCUGUGAUAUCAAGUGCUUGCCAGGAUGUGGCACAGUAGAAACUCUUAAACACUUGGUGGGUGUUUAAAUUGCUACAACCAGUUUGGAAAACAAUUUGUCAUUACCCAGUAAAGUUGAAGAUGUAUAGAUCAUGUAAUAGUUUUACAGACCAAAAAUAUAGAAACUCUGGUACCUCUGCAGAAGAAGACAUACAGUAAUAUUCACAGUGGCCAUUUGUAAUAUAAAAAACUGUAAACAAUCCAGCUGUUUAUUGAUUGAUUUUUCUAACAUGUGACUUAUUUCUGGUCUUUACUAGCUUUGGGGCCAUUUGGAUCACACGAUGUUUUUUCAAGAUUUUAGACCAUUUCUAAGUAGCAAUCCACUGGACCAAGAUAAUAGAGCCAAUGAAAGGGGUCACCAGACUCACACUGACUUCUGGGGAGCAAGACCUCCACGGUUGCCAUUGGGUCGGAGAUACAGAUCUCGAGGAAGUUCUCGUCCUGACAGAUCUCCAGCUAUUGAAGGAAUACUACAACACAUCUUUGCAGGAUUCUUUGCAAAUUCUGCCAUUCCUGGAUCUCCACACCCUUUUUCCUGGAGCGGGAUGCUGCACUCCAACCCUGGGGACUAUGCCUGGGGUCAGACAGGGCUUGAUGCCAUUGUAACCCAGCUUUUAGGACAACUGGAAAACACAGGCCCUCCCCCAGCUGACAAGGAAAAGAUCACAUCUCUUCCAACAGUGACAGUAACUCAGGAACAAGUUGAUAUGGGUUUAGAGUGUCCAGUAUGCAAAGAAGAUUACACAGUUGAAGAGGAAGUCCGGCAGUUACCUUGCAAUCACUUCUUUCACAGCAGUUGUAUUGUGCCAUGGCUAGAACUGCAUGACACAUGUCCUGUAUGUAGGAAGAGCUUAAAUGGUGAGGACUCUACUCGGCAAAGCCAGAGCACUGAGGCCUCUGCAAGCAACAGAUUUAGCAAUGACAGUCAGCUACAUGACCGAUGGACUUUCUGAAGCUAAAGACCACACCUGAAUCAGGGCUGUGGUAAUCAUCUUACCAUAGCUGUAAAUUGUAUCAAAACAAAAAAUUAGUAGAUGGAUUUAGGAAUCACAUAAGAAACAACACAUAAUAUAAAUGCAAUGAAUGUUUUUCUUCUUUAAAUUUAAAGUUAGUAUCUACAGAUGGAAUUGUAUCUACAACCAAAUGCCUCUUGUCCCUGAAUUCAGAGUGAUAAUUUUAUAAGUGUGAGACUUAAUUAUGUAGGGCUCCCCCCAUCUAAAUAGAAUUAAUUCCUUAAAGUCUAGUUAGGGUCCUGCUGUCUGUCAUGUUGGCUUGUAACGGAUGUUUCCACCUCCUUCUCCAACCUCUACCCCACCAUUAGUGUAUUUUACCAUAAAAACAGUGGAACCACAGCCCUAAAGUCCUGCUGAUAUAAAGUCUUUUUGUCUUAAUUGUAUUUUAAAAAAAAACUACUCUUGAUCACAU
This 3111-nucleotide small RNA is filed under the name Pongo abelii (Sumatran orangutan). RNAcentral describes it as "retained intron". The record is from RNAcentral. Lineage: Eukaryota; Metazoa; Chordata; Mammalia; Primates; Hominidae.